UACGAAGGGGGCUAGCGUUGCUCGGAAUCACUGGGCGUAAAGGGUGCGUAGGCGGGUCUUUAAGUCAGGGGUGAAAUCCUGGAGCUCAACUCCAGAACUGCCUUUGAUACUGAAGAUCUUGAGUUCGGGAGAGGUGAGUGGAACUGCGAAGUGUAGAGGUGAAAUUCGUAGAUAUUCGCAAGAACACCAGUGGCGAAGGCGGCUCACUGGCCCGAUACUGACGCUGAGGCACGAAAGCGUGGGGAGCA
This 248-nucleotide ribosomal RNA is filed under the name uncultured bacterium. Its description in RNAcentral is "partial 16S ribosomal RNA". It matches the Rfam family "Bacterial small subunit ribosomal RNA", at positions 524 to 770 of the family's 1533-position model. The record is from RNAcentral.